This 76-nucleotide microRNA precursor is filed under the name Myotis myotis. RNAcentral describes it as "mir-9229 microRNA precursor family". It matches the Rfam family "mir-9229 microRNA precursor family". The record is from Rfam by way of RNAcentral. RNAcentral also lists the same sequence under 1 other name. Lineage: Eukaryota; Metazoa; Chordata; Mammalia; Chiroptera; Vespertilionidae.
GAGACACCCCUCCGGGGCAAGACUUGCUUCAAUGGGGCUUUGGUGCUCACUGAAUCUGCCCCCUGAGUGUGUCCUU